Non-coding RNA from Meleagris gallopavo (turkey), 3588 nucleotides. The record is from RefSeq and is a predicted model, not a curated record. Lineage: Eukaryota; Metazoa; Chordata; Aves; Galliformes; Phasianidae.
UUUUUUUUUUUGAGCUCUCUGGCCCCAAGCAGUACAGCUGACAGAGGCCUGCUAUGUUUGCAACUUGCAUUUUGCUGGCACUUUUCAAGUUAUUUUUGUCACCCUCUGAAUACUCUCUUUGCCCCACUGUAUUCCUGAGGGCAUGUUAGAAAAGCAGCACCAAAGGACAAAAUGAUAUCAGACCAUCUUAGGUGGCUUUCUGUGGAAAGCAUUGGGACCCCGUGUCCCUUUGGUACAGGAAAGGGAAAAUUUUUAAUUGAGUAAGGCUGCAGAGAAUUUUAAAUGCUAGAGCUUUGGGAGAGUCUAUUUCGCGUUUUCAUUUUGAUUAAAUUUAGAAUUGUUCGUUUUUCUGGCAGAAUGUUUAUGUUUAGGCAAUGAAUUCGAUAUGCUGAGGAGAUGCAGAUCACUUCACUUUUUGUGAUUCUUACAAUGAAGAGUCAGGAAGAGGCAAGACUUGGUAGCUGGCAGUACAGAGAAGUCCUGGCUUAUCUGGCACUUCAAUAUUCCAUCCAUCUGCCCAGGAUUUCUGUGUUCAGCUCAGAUAAGCAACGUGACUGUUGAUUUCUGUCUGCAUCAGAGAGGAUUGCACUGGGCAGGUAUUUUGUAUUGUGCAGUUCUGCUGUUUUUUUUGUUUUGUUUUGUUUUUCAAUUUCUCUUUCAGAACCUCUGAGCCCUUGCUCAGGAUAAACAACCACUGUGCUGCUGAGUACUGUGCUUGGAGCCUUCACACCCAAGUGGAGUCACUCUGAGGAACAAGAUUGCCCUGUGGAAAGACUCCUUCCUUCUGUGAGUAAUAGGACCUCUGGAUGCUGUGACUGCACUGAUCCCAGUCGGCACAGAAAUUGCUAUGAUGCUGAGAUGCGCCUUACUACGUGUUGCACCGCGCAGUAGCUUGGAAACUCUUGUGACAUGUGACAAGGGACUUCACAGCGCCUGAUGGAACGUGUUGCAUGCUCCCUCACAUCCUGCUCUGGCGACAGUAAUGCCAUUCAUCCUCCAGCAAGUGGGGCUGGGAGGAAGUCCAGGUUUAUCACUCUUUCCUGGGGGAACUGGAAGGUUCAGGAAAUUAUGGGAUUUAGAGAUUCUUAACUUCUGAGCCAUUUGCUUGAACUGCUCGUAACUGAGAAAUUCAGUGUGCCACAUAUAUUUUCAAAGACUCUUGCUUACAGUUUGUGCACCUGUAGUAGGCUUUUUAGCUGGCUCACCUGAAAAAAUAGUGUAGAAGUUAAAGAAGAUGGAAUUCCAAGAAUUUGACAGAAAUUGGCUCCUGUACAAUUAUAGUAUGUCAAUUGCUAUCUGAUGUAUGCACUGUAUUGCAAAGUCAUUGCCUGGUAGUGCAUACAUGCCUUCUGUUAGCUUCUCUUUGCAGAUAUUCUUGAAAUGAUAAGUGGAUGCAACGAACACUGGAGGUUUAUCACCAGUUUUCCUUUGUGAAGAUCUUGACUGCCACUGGUUAAAACUUGUUUUAUUCAUUUCCUGAUGUUUUCUUCCUGGCUCAAAAUGUCACACAAACACAUCAACCAUCACUAGCUUUCACCCCACCAUCUGAGCACCAACCUCAUUAAAUCUCAGGACUGCAUAAAGGAAUACUGAUACUGAAAGAAGGUUUAAGUCAUAUAUUGGUGGAUAACUGACGGCACUGAGAACUUGUGGUCUAUGAACAUACCAAAUUAUCAAGCUCCUUAAAGAACUAAUGAAUACUGCUCGCACUAUCUGUAACAAGCAUCCCUUUGUAAUGUAGAUGUAAGAACAAACCAAAGCCAUGAUACUGGAGCUGUGUCUGCUCAAAAAACAGUGCUGAGGAUGAUUUCUUCUACUCUACAUUUUUAGUCCUAAAACUAUGCUGUGGGAUUUGUUUUCGAUUUGUGUGUUUGUUUGCUUUUUGCAUGCUCUCAGAACUACAGAUUAUUUUGCAGCUGAAGGCCAGCUAUGAGUUGUGCUACAGGGUGACACAUUUCAUGGAAAUUUAAUGCAAAUAAUAAUAAUUCUCAUCAGGAGCAGAAACAGGAGAUCUCUCACAUUUCUAGCAACUGCAGAUACCUGCAUGAGACUGAACUGCAAGAGAGUGAACCGCUCGUGUCAAGCCAGCUCCCUUACAAAACAUCCAGCACAAUGGAUGUUUUUUGCAAUCAACAAACUCAAAAUUACUGCUCUUGUAUGUCCGGAAACCUUUAUUUCAUUUUCAUUCUGUUUCAUUUGAAGAAUUUACUAAUGCAUACAAACAUGUAGCAUGUUCUUUUAACAUAUGUUCAUUCCAGUGUUUACUUUAUCUCCUGAUCUUAUCUGUAGCUUCCCAUUACAAAGAAAUGUUACCAUAAAACACCACAAACAAAGUUGCCACCAUUUUAAUGUUCUGCAAGUGUGCUACAAGUAAACUGUACUGUACUGAAUUCAAUCAAAAUACUCAAUGCAUUUUGAGCACAAUACCACCAAUAUAUUGCUGGCCCACUUUGCCACAUGCAGAAGGACAAUGAUGUGCUUAUUGACUCAUCUCUUUAUUCUGAACAGAGGGAACUCACUUGGUUGCCAAUGGUCCAUUCAGCCCGGCCAAACACUGAUUUAAAAAACAGUGAUGUCUUUCCCAAGCACAUCAGAGGCUGCCUGUACUGCACUGAGGCUGCAACGUGGGUUCCGGCUGUACUAUGGGAUGUUACAAAGCUAAGCAAGCUAAUUUUGGAAUAUUGCACACACUUACUAUAUUCAGAUGAUAUUAGUUACUGCACCUGACUUCUUAAAUGAAUAUUCCUUAAGAUUACUUGAUAAAGCAUAGCUCAGCUUGUCCAUAUCAGAAGAGUUUUCUAUACUUUGUUCACUCUUCAGUGUUCACCUGCAUUACAGCUCUUCAACUUGCCACCUUGCAUGCUCCAUUCAGGUGACAAGAACACUUAAUGCAUGGGUGGCACUGAGCAGAUAAAGGGCUGGAGGGUUUUUACAGGCUCUACUAAAGUGCUUUCUUCAGACUAGAAGUGCACAGUACCAUGGUGAUAAGGCUGUCCUGUGCUGAUCUAAGGAAGCCUGUGAUAAGGAAUAUAAUAGGAGCAAUAAGGUAAAAAAAAAUCUUUCAUUCCAGAAACUGUGUAUCUGUGUAUACCAACUGCUUACAGAGUUUUCUCACAAGCUCAUGUUUGUGAAGUGUUGCAUGCUUCAGCUCCAUCUUAAAUGGUUUUAUGCCACAAACUGUGGGCCAUUUAUUGCUCAUCACUCCAAAGCCACUGAACUCUUCAGCUGUGCAGUCUGCUCCCUCCAGCCUUCCCACUGAGAAUAAACAAUUGGCAGGGAUGGGGAGAAGGGGACAUCCAAGAGACACUGAAGGGACAUCAAAGAAUGCCAGAAAGGGCCAACACAGAAAACAGCCCUGCCCUAUGCAGCCAAGGCCUGGGCUGGUGUUUUAGUGCUAUGCACAAGAGUUUAAAUAUGUGAAUUAGCCCACACAGCUGUAAAAAUCACUGGGCCCAUGAUAAGAAAAUGAAAGACAGUAUUGUUGAUGGUUUCUGGUUUUGUUUGUUUGCUGUUGUAUUUCACUCUCUGUAUAUCUGCCUUAAUCUGUGAAGUAUCAGCAACCUAAAUAAAAACUGCAUUUCUGAUUGA